GAUGAACGCUGGCGGCGUGCCUAAUACAUGCAAGUCGAGCGAACAGACGAGGAGCUUGCUCCUCUGACGUUAGCGGCGGACGGGUGAGUAACACGUGGAUAACAUACCUAUAAGACUGGGAUAACUUCGGGAAACCGGAGCUAAUACCGGAUAAUAUAUUGAACCGCAUGGUUCAAUAGUGAAAGACGGUUUUGCUGUCACUUAUAGAUGGAUCCGCGCCGCAUUAGCUAGUUGGUAAGGUAACGGCUUACCAAGGCGACGAUGCGUAGCCGACCUGAGAGGGUGAUCGGCCACACUGGAACUGAGACACGGUCCAGACUCCUACGGGAGGCAGCAGUAGGGAGUCUUCCGCAAUGGGCGAAAGCCUGACGGAGCAACGCCGCGUGAGUGAUGAAGGUCUUCGGAUCGUAAAACUCUGUUAUUAGGGAAGAACAAAUGUGUAAGUAACUAUGCACGUCUUGACGGUACCUAAUCAGAAAGCCACGGCUAACUACGUG
Molecule: ribosomal RNA, 497 nt
Filed under: uncultured bacterium
Lineage: Bacteria
Description: partial 16S ribosomal RNA
Rfam family: Bacterial small subunit ribosomal RNA
Source: RNAcentral